CCUGGGGCUGGAGCAGGUCCCAAGGGUUCGGCUGUUCGCCGAUUAAAGUGGUACGUGAGCUGGGUUUAAAACGUCGUGAGACAGUUUGGUCCCUAUCUUCCGUGGGCGCAGGAUAUUUGAGGGGAUCUGUCCCUAGUACGAGAGGACCGGGAUGGACGAACCCAUGGUGUUCCAGUUGUCGCGCCAGCGGCAUAGCUGGGUAGCUAUGUUCGGAAAGGAUAACCGCUGAAAGCAUCUAAGCGGGAAACCAACCUCAAGAUUAGAUAUCCCUUCCGGUGGAGACACCGGAACUAAAGGCCCCUCGCAGACGACGAGGUUGAUAGGCCGGGUGUAUAAGCACAGUAAUGUGUUUAGCUUACCGGUACUAAUUGGCCGUGCGGCUUGGCCACAUUU
This 393-nucleotide ribosomal RNA is filed under the name Desulfobacteraceae bacterium. RNAcentral describes it as "bacterial LSU rRNA". It matches the Rfam family "Bacterial large subunit ribosomal RNA", at positions 2546 to 2925 of the family's 2925-position model. The record is from RNAcentral. Lineage: Bacteria; Pseudomonadati; Thermodesulfobacteriota; Desulfobacteria; Desulfobacterales; Desulfobacteraceae.